Molecule: ribosomal RNA, 615 nt
Filed under: Scedosporium apiospermum
Lineage: Eukaryota; Fungi; Ascomycota; Sordariomycetes; Microascales; Microascaceae
Description: eukaryotic LSU rRNA
Rfam family: 5.8S ribosomal RNA (bases 211-364)
Source: RNAcentral
UGUAACAAGGUCUCCGUUGGUGAACCAGCGGAGGGAUCAUUACAGAGUUACUACUCCAAACCCAUUGUGAACCUUACCUAUGUUCUGUUGCCUCGGCGGCGUCGGUCAGCGCCCCUCUGAAAGAGGACGAUGCCCCUCCCGCCGGCAGCACCAAACUCUUGAAUUUUACAGCGGAUACAGGUUCUGAUUUGAAAACAAAAAACAAGUUAAAACUUUCAACAACGGAUCUCUUGGUUCUGGCAUCGAUGAAGAACGCAGCGAAAUGCGAUAAGUAAUGUGAAUUGCAGAAUUCAGUGAAUCAUCGAAUCUUUGAACGCCCAUUGCGCCCGGCAGUAAUCUGCCGGGCAUGCCUGUCCGAGCGUCAUUUCAACCCUCGAACCUCCGUUUCCUCAGGGAAGCCCAGGGUCGGUGUUGGGGCGCUACGGCGAGUCCUCGCGACCCCCGUAGGCCCUGAAAUACAGUGGCGGUCCCGCCGCGGUUGCCUUCUGCGUAGUAAGUCUCUUUUGCAAGCUCGCAUUGGGCCCGGCGGAGGCCUGCCGUCAAACCACCUAACAACUCCCAGAUGGUUUGACCCUCGGAUCAGGUAGGGUUACCCGCUGAACUUAAGCAUAUCAA